CUCUACUAAGCCAGCAGCAUGACCUGUCAUCUUUCCUGUACUCAGCAGCUCCCUACCCCACACCCUGUCCAGACGCUUUCUCCACUGUUCUGCCUUGGUUUCCUUUGUGACUGCCUCUCCUCCCCCUAACUCACUCACUAGUGUUCUCCUAGGCUCUUAACAUAGACUUCCCUCUGGCUCCUACUGCUCUUAUUCUGCCAAGAGAAUAAGAAACAUUCAUUGGCUUAAGCCAUCCUGGAGUUGAACAGUUAUAUUUGGGUCACUUACUGAUUGCCUCCUCUUGAAUAUCUCUCUGCUUCUCAUGAAAUCUUCGUGCAUCUGUCUUAUAUAAGUUUCUUCAGAAGCAGAGCCAGAACUUUUGUGUGAUUUGUUAAGAGGAAAGCCCAUGGGAGGACACAGCAAGAAGGCAGCCAUCUGCAACCCAAGGAGGGAGCCCUUACCAAGAACCAACCAGUUGACAUCUUGAUCUUGAAUUUCCAGUGUCUAGAGCGGUGAGAAAAUAAAAUUCUUAUGUUGAAAC
Molecule: long non-coding RNA, 520 nt
Filed under: Homo sapiens (human)
Lineage: Eukaryota; Metazoa; Chordata; Mammalia; Primates; Hominidae
Description: HSALNT0311012
Source: RNAcentral